AUAAUAAUUUAAAUUUAAAGUUAAUUUAUUGAGAUUAUUUUAAGUAAAAAUAAUUAUUUAGUUUUAGUAUUAUUUAUAGAAAAAAUAUUUUUAAUUGAACUGUGAAGAUCAAACAAUAAAUAUAAAUAAGUAAAAUUAUAAUUUGUACCUUUUGUAUCAGGGUUAAUUAAUUGUAUAUAAAAAUUUAUUUUUCCCGAAUUAUAGUGAUUUAAAAUUAUUUGUUAAUUAUUGUAAUAUUAAUAUUAAUAAAAUAAUUUUAGUGAUGAAACUUCUCUCGAACUAUAAUAUUUCUGGUUUCUUAAGAAUUAAAUUUAAUUUAAAAUAAAUAUUAUAACUUAUAUUUCAAUAUAAAGUUUUAUAUUUAUUUAAUUAUAUUAAGGAUAAGCUAAAUAUAAUUUCUAUAAUAUUUUAGAUUUUAAUUAAUUAAAUAGGCUUGCAAUUAGCUUUUUUAUAUGAGUAAGUUAAAUUUUAUUUUUUAUUUUAAUACAUUUAAUAUAUUUUAGGUAUAUAUUAAGAAAAUUAAAUUAAUUAAAAUAUUUUUAUUAAAAUGAUUAAAUUAGUAAAUUAUAAUAAGUUGUAUUUAAGAACUAGGCAAAUAUAAUUUUCGCCUGUUUACCAAAAACAUGUCCUUUAGAAAAAUAUUAAAGGUCUAUUCUGCCCAAUGAUAUUUUAAUGGCCGCGGUAAGUUGACCGUGCAAAGGUAGCAUAAUAAUUAGUCUUUUAAUUAAAGGCUUGUAUGAAUGAAUGGAUGAAAAAUUUUCUUUUUUAAUUAAAAUAGAUUGAAUUUAGAGUUUAAGUAAAAAAUCUUAAAUAAAUAAGUGGGACGAGAAGACCCUAUAGAAUUUUAAAUAAAUUUGUUUUACUAGAAUUUAGAAUUAAUAACUGAAAAAAUUACUUUAUUUUUUGUUGGGGUGACAUUAUAAUAAAUAAAACUUUAAAUGAACUUUUCAUAAAUUAAUGCUUAAUUGAUCCAAUUUUUUGAUUAUAAGAUUAAAUUACCUUAGGGAUAACAGCGUUAUUAAUUUGGAGAGUUCAUAUCGAUAAAUUAGAUUGCGACCUCGAUGUUGGAUUAAGAAAAGAGUUUAGAGCAAAAUCUAAAUAUUCUAGGUCUGUUCGACCUUUAAUUUCUUACAUGAUCUGAGUUCAAAUCGGCGUGAGCCAGGUUGGUUUCUAUCUACUAAUAUAUUUUUGAUAUUAGUACGAAAGGACCAUAUCAAAUAAUUUAAUUUAU
RNAcentral lists this ribosomal RNA (1231 nucleotides) under Magicicada septendecula (seventeen-year cicada). RNAcentral's name for it is "16S ribosomal RNA". The stretch from base 818 to 1179 matches the Rfam family "Archaeal large subunit ribosomal RNA", at positions 2154 to 2717 of the family's 2987-position model. RNAcentral also lists the same sequence under 1 other name. Lineage: Eukaryota; Metazoa; Arthropoda; Insecta; Hemiptera; Cicadidae. The record is from RNAcentral.